RNAcentral lists this ribosomal RNA (421 nucleotides) under uncultured bacterium. RNAcentral's name for it is "bacterial SSU rRNA". It matches the Rfam family "Bacterial small subunit ribosomal RNA", at positions 356 to 773 of the family's 1533-position model. The record is from RNAcentral.
AGGGAAUAUUGGACAAUGGGCGCAAGCCUGAUCCAGCCAUGCCGCGUGGAGGAAGGCGGCCCUCUGGGUUGUAAACUCCUUUUAUACAGGAAGAAACCUCCCCAUUUAUGGGUGAGCUGACGGUACUGUAGGAAUAAGCACCGGCUAACUCCGUGCCAGCAGCCGCGGUAAUACGGAGGGUGCAAGCGUUAUCCGGAUUCACUGGGUUUAAAGGGUGCGUAGGCGGAUUGUUAAGUCAGUGGUGAAAGCAACGGGCUCAACCUGUUAACUGCCAUUGAUACUGAUGGUCUUGAAUAUGAGGGAGGCAGGCGGAAUGUUGCAUGUAGCGGUGAAAUGCUUAGAUAUGCUACGGAACACCGAUUGCGAAGGCAGCUUGCUACUUCAUGAUUGACGCUGAGGCACGAAAGCGUGGGGAGCGAAC